RNAcentral lists this ribosomal RNA (484 nucleotides) under uncultured bacterium. RNAcentral's name for it is "partial 16S ribosomal RNA". It matches the Rfam family "Bacterial small subunit ribosomal RNA", at positions 30 to 507 of the family's 1533-position model. The record is from RNAcentral.
AUUGAACGCUGGCGGCAGGCCUAACACAUGCAAGUCGAGCGGAUGAAGGGAGCUUGCUCCUGGAUUCAGCGGCGGACGGGUGAGUAAUGCCUAGGAAUCUGCCUGGUAGUGGGGGAUAACGUCCGGAAACGGGCGCUAAUACCGCAUACGUCCUGAGGGAGAAAGUGGGGGAUCUUCGGACCUCACGCUAUCAGAUGAGCCUAGGUCGGAUUAGCUAGUUGGUGGGGUAAAGGCCUACCAAGGCGACGAUCCGUAACUGGUCUGAGAGGAUGAUCAGUCACACUGGAACUGAGACACGGUCCCGACUCCUACGGGAGGCAGCAGUGGGGAAUAUUGGACGAUGGGCGAAAGCCUGAUCCAGCCAUGCCGCGUGUGUGAAGAAGGUCUUCGGAUUGUAAAGCACUUUAAGUUGGGAGGAAGGGCAGUAAGUUAAUACCUUGCUGUUUUGACGUUACCAACAGAAUAAGCACCGGCUAACUUCGUG